UACGAAGGGGGCUAGCGUUGCUCGGAAUGACUGGGCGUAAAGGGCGCGUAGGCGGAUUGUACAGUCAGGCGUGAAAUUCCCGGGCUCAACCUGGGGGCUGCGCUUGAGACGUGCGAUCUUGAGUGGGGAAGAGGGUCGUGGAAUUCCCAGUGUAGAGGUGAAAUUCGUAGAUAUUCGGAAGAACACCAGUGGCGAAGGCGACUGACUGGACAUGUAUUGACGCUGAGGUGCGAAAGCGUGGGGAGCAAACAGG
Molecule: ribosomal RNA, 253 nt
Filed under: uncultured bacterium
Lineage: Bacteria
Description: partial 16S ribosomal RNA
Rfam family: Bacterial small subunit ribosomal RNA
Source: RNAcentral